ACAGAGGUGGCAAGCGUUGUUCGGAAUUACUGGGCGUAAAGGGCGCGUAGGCGGUUCGUUAAGUCCUGUGUGAAAUCCCCCGGCUCAACUGGGGAACUGCACAGGAAACUAGCGGGCUUGAGUUCGGGAGAGGGAAGCGGAAUUCCGGGUGUAGCGGUGAAAUGCGUAGAUAUCGUCAAGAACACCGAUAGUGAAGACAGCUUACUAGACUGUAACUGACGCUGAGGCACGAAAGUGUGGGGAGCAAACAGGA
Molecule: ribosomal RNA, 253 nt
Filed under: uncultured prokaryote
Description: partial 16S ribosomal RNA
Rfam family: Bacterial small subunit ribosomal RNA
Source: RNAcentral